GUUCGCACUAUUAAAUGAGCAACAGGCUGUUUGCCACACGUAGGGCAGAAUCUUUUUGCCCUUCCAGAGCACCUGAUAUCACCCCGAGUUAUUGGAGAAGUUUAUGUUGCUCAGUCUUUUAUUUUUCUAUGUUGUGUUUAAUGUACUAUUCUGUUUGGUCUUCUUUUUGAGCCAAGGUGUUGUCAGUUUAUUCUAGACUUUGCGAGUUUGAAUGUCCCUUUAGUCUUGUUUGCCUCUCUCUCUCAGUAACUGGGAGUACUGUGUAUUUGUAAUGUUUAUGUUUCUCUCUUUGUACUGAUCUGUAGAGUCAACCCCUCGCCUCAUUAUGUAUGUGUUUGUCCCAAAGUCAGUAACUGGGAGUACUGUGUAUUUGUAAUGUUUAUGUUUCUUUCUUUGUAUUGAUCUGUAGAGUCAACCCCUCGCCACAUUAUGUGUGUGUUUGUCCCAAGUCAGUAACUGGGAGUACUGUGUAUUUGUAAUGUUUAUGUUUCUUUCUUUGUAUUGAUCUGUAGAGUCUACCCCUCGCCACAUUCUGUAUGUGUUUGUCCCAAGUCAGUAACUGGGAGUACUGUGUAUUUGUAAUGUUUAUGUUUCUCUCUUUGUAUUGAUCUGUUAGAGUUUAUGUUUCUUUCUUUGUAUUGAUCUGUAGAGUC
This 653-nucleotide long non-coding RNA is filed under the name Mytilus galloprovincialis (Mediterranean mussel). Lineage: Eukaryota; Metazoa; Mollusca; Bivalvia; Mytilida; Mytilidae. The record is from RNAcentral.